RNAcentral lists this ribosomal RNA (459 nucleotides) under uncultured bacterium. Its description in RNAcentral is "partial 16S ribosomal RNA". It matches the Rfam family "Bacterial small subunit ribosomal RNA", at positions 338 to 795 of the family's 1533-position model. The record is from RNAcentral.
CCUACGGGUGGCAGCAGUGAGGAAUAUUGGUCAAUGGGCGCGAGCCUGAACCAGCCAAGUAGCGUGAAGGAUGACUGCCCUACGGGUUGUAAACUUCUUUUAUAAAGGAAUAAAGUGAGGCACGUGUGCCUUUUUGUAUGUACUUUAUGAACAAGGAUCGGCUAACUCCGUGCCAGCAGCCGCGGUAAUACGGGGGAUCCGAGCGUUAUCCGGAUUUAUUGGGUUUAAAGGGAGCGUAGAUGGGUUGUUAAGUCAGUUGUGAAAGUUUGCGGCUCAACCGUAAAAUUGCAAUUGCUACUGGCAAUCUUGAGUACAGUUGAGGUAGGCGAAAUUCGUGGUGUGGCGGUGAAAGGCUUAGAUAUCACGGAGAACUCCGAUGGCGAAGGCAGCUUACUAAACUGCCACUGACAUUGAUGCUCGAAAGUGUGGGUAUCAAACAGGAUUAAUACCCUUGUAGUC